Gopherus evgoodei (Goodes thornscrub tortoise) is the source of this 571-nucleotide long non-coding RNA. RefSeq lists it as uncharacterized. Lineage: Eukaryota; Metazoa; Chordata; Testudines; Testudinidae. The record is from RefSeq and is a predicted model, not a curated record. The transcript has 3 exons.
CAUUAAACAAUUCUUCCUGCUGCACAUCAAAACCUGUUCUCAGUUACAUAUCUUAUUCUGAGGAACACAUUGCAUGAGUGUGAGCAAGUUUUACAACAUUCUUAACUGGGCUGGCCUGAAAGUCUGGCUGGUGCUGUGACCGAGGCAAUUUCAUAUCUUGAGCUGGGAUCGUCACACACGCAACACUCUACAACUCUGGCAGGCAGCUGUGUACGUGACCAGCUGGGACUUCAUGAAGGAACACCAGUUCCUGGGAGGGGAAAGCACAGGGAAGGAACUUAAAAUGAAAGAUUUCAAAAAUCCCUAUGAACCACAAUGCAAGGGAAGUGUGCCAUUCAGAGGGGCCUCCUUUUCAAGCUGAAUGAUGACAAGGGAAAAUGAAAAUUUCCACAAAGCUUUUCUUUGUAUUUAAUUUGCUUUGGUCUGGGAUGGUAAUGUUUAUUAGUGUUCAAUACAGAGGAGUAUUCUCUGAAUUUUGGGACAUUUUCAUGUCCUUGAGCCAUAUUUGCAACCUUCUCGAUUUUGGUUUCAGUUUGCAGGCUCAGAGUUCAAAGUGAUUUUAUUAAAUACA